Unclassified non-coding RNA from Ictidomys tridecemlineatus (thirteen-lined ground squirrel), 307 nucleotides. Its record names the gene 7SK. It matches the Rfam family "7SK RNA". Rfam says of the family: 7SK was discovered as an abundant small nuclear RNA in the mid-70s but a possible function has only recently been suggested. Two independent studies have found that 7SK RNA binds the CDK9/cyclin T complex (known as elongation factor P-TEFb). The record is from Ensembl. Lineage: Eukaryota; Metazoa; Chordata; Mammalia; Rodentia; Sciuridae.
GGAUGUGAGGGUGAUCUGGCUGCGACAUCUGUCACCCCAUUGAUCGCCAGGGUUGAUUCCGCUGAUCUGGCUAGCUAGGCGGGUGUUCCCUUUCUCACUGAUCCAUGUGCGUCCCUCCAGAAGCUGCGAGCUUGGUCGAAGAGGACGACCUUCCCUGAUAGAGGAGGACCAUUCUUCGGUCAAGGGUAUACGAGUAGCUGCGCUCCCCUGCUAGAACCUCCAAACAAGCUCUCAAGGUCCUUUACAUUUAGAUACACAAACUGCAUGCAUUAACUUCUGCAUUUGAAACCCUAGGGCCAAUAUAUGC